CUGGGGGGCCUACAGGACCCUGACAUCCCUCUGCCAGGAGCCCUACUGAGGAGCAGGCGCUGUAGAAGGCACCUACCAGGCUCCAGGGAAAUGGCUCCAUCCGAGGAGCCAGCUGGCUAAGAUCCAGGCCCGGCUAUGAAUCAGCAGAAGGGAUUUCUGUGCAGGAUUUAGAGUCAAGAGAAAUUGGGUUUAAAUCUUGGCUCUGAUGCCUGCAAGCCGUGGGAUCCUAGAGAAUCUCAGUUUCUUCCUCUGUGAAGAGGGGGUAACGUGCUCCCUUAUCUCACUAGAUUUAUAUGAGCAAAGCAUUUGGAAAUCUGAAACACUAUAGAAACAUAAAAUUAUUGUUAUCCUUUCAGGGCAAGAUUGACUUUGCCCUCUCAACCAAAGAACAAAUUUUAUUUAUUCUCUACCUGUAUUUAGAGGCAGCUCCGUGGUACAAUGGACAGAGUACUGGUCCUGAGUUCAAAUCUGGCCUCAGAAACUUCUUAGCUGGGUGACCCUGGGCAAGUCAUUUAAACUCUAUUGGUCUUAAUCUACUGGAGAAAGAAAUGACAAACACUCCAGUACCUUUGCCAAGAAAACCCAAGGCCCACGGGGUCAUAAAGAGUUGGCCUUGAUGGAAAAAACAUCAACAAUCACUUCUUUUUUUAAAAAAUAGUCUUAGGGAAGGAGAGAAUUUGGAACUCAAAAACAUAAAAUGAAUAUUAAAAUGGUUUCUACAUGCAAUUGAGAAAAAAUAAAAAACAAUCUUUUAAAAAGUAAAUAAAACAAAAAAAAUCUCUCCUCCCCCAGAGAAAGAAAUUAAUUUUUCAAUCAAGUGAAUUCACUAAUAUCUUUGUUUUAUAGCUGGGAAUCUGGAAGUGAUCCAUCUCCCUCCCUUGAGUAUUUUAUAACAGGAAGAACAAACAAACAGACCUAAAAACCAAAAACCCGAGAGCCCCAGGAAAUAGGUGCCCUGUUCUGUCUUAUACAUGUUGAAAGGUUGCUCUGUAAUUCCUCCCAUAUCAUUUCAGCCAGAUGUGGGUGUUUAGUGCCUCCAUAGCUCAGAACUCCUCUCUUAGAUGGUCAACUGCUUGAUCAGAAGAACUAUUUCUUUAAAAACAAAACAAAACACUUUAAAUCUGGUCCCUCAGACAAGACAGUCUCUUUAGGCCUUAGUUAUGCCACUUGUAAAAUGAAGAGUUUGGACUGUAUGUUAUUUCAUAGAUCUCUUCAACAACAACAAAAUUUAAACCUUGUGAUGCUAUAAAAAAAAUUUAAACCCUUAUCUUCUGUCUUAGAAUAAAUACUGUAUUAUUUCUAAAGCAGAAGAGUGGUAAGGGCUAGGCAAUUGGGCUGGGAGGGAGGGUUAAGUGACUUGCUCAGGGUCACACAGCUAAGAAGUGUCUGAGGCCAGGUUUAAAUCACUUCCCAUCUCUAGGCCUGGUUUUCAAUUCACUGAGCUACCUAACUAUCCCCCCAUAAGGACUUUUUCUAAAAAAUUCUUUUUUCUCUAAGAGCCCAGCACCGUGUGCAGGGUAUAGGAGCCCCCCACCCCCACCCCCCGGGUGUUGAGUUCAGAGGACCUGAGAUUGAAUCCCAGCUCUGAAAUGUGUUACCUACACGCGUGUAGGCAAGUCUUGGGGCCUUUCUGGGUCUCAUUUCCUCAUCAGCAAGUCCAGACCGUUUAGCCCUCCAGUUCUACCAUGCUGCCCUGUGGAGAAGGUCUGUCCAUCUCCCUCUCGUCCCCCCAUCCUCUGCCUUUCUUCCUAUCCCUUGGUCCUCCUCCUACAUCCAGACCCCCCCGCCGGGUCAUGGGCCGGCAGUUCUAGAGAGCCUACGGUGGGCUGAGCCUCUCGGUAAGGCCUUGUUCCUUAACCACAUCAGAGCCCUGGAACAGACGACUAAGGACUUGGGUCCAGGCCGCCAAAUGAUGACCCAUCCUUCCCGUUCACAGUUGCAAUUUCCUGUUUCUCAGUGCUCCCAGGAGCACAGGGUGGACCAAAUCCAUAGAGAAAAACUCCAGAGAGUUAGGCAACAGGCUGCAGUUGGGCGUUGCUCUUUCGUGUGUGUGUGUGUGUGUGUGUGUGUGUGUGUGUGUGUUUUAAUUGACAUUCAGAGUAGCCAAGAGAAUUAUGGUCCUGAUGAAAGUUUGGUGGAUGACUUUCUCUCUCUCUGGCCACCUCUGUUGGGCUGACUGUGAGUAGGCAGCAGAGUCCCAUCCCAAUGGCUCUUCUUAGCUCAAAUCCAGAUGUCUAACAGGCAGUAAAGAACCCACGACUAGAACAUGUUUAUUUGUGUGUGUAUGUGUGUGUGUGUGGGGGGGGUCUAGGGGUCUUGGACUCUUGAGUGGGAACAGGGUCAGGUCAGUGUCCAAGAGUGCCUUGGAGGGAGCAGGGGACAUGCCUUUUGUAGGGGAGUCAUUGUUGUUACUGUUCAGUCUUUUCCAUCGUGUCCAGUUCUUCGUGACCUCAUUUGGAAUUUUCUUGGCAGAGAUGCUGAAGUGAUUUGUCAUUUCCUUCUCCGGCUCACUUCACAAAUAAGGAAACAGAGGCAGACGGGGUUAAGUGACUUGCCCAAGGUCCUACAGCUGGGAAGUGAAAGAGGCCAAAGUUGAACUCAGAAAAAUAGUCUUCCUGACUCCAGGCCCAGCCUGCUAUCCUGGCUCUGAUAUUUACUAGCUUUGUAACCUCAAGCCACUCGCUUCUCUCAGCCUCAGUUUCUUCAUCUGUAAAAUUAGGAAGGAUAUACUAGAUUACCUAGUGUAUUAUUAUUAUUAGCCUCUGCCUAGUUCCAACAUUCUAUGACUCUGGGCUUCUUUGAACAAAUUCCAGGUAUAGGGAAGAAUCCGGGACUAGAAUGAAAUAAGACCGUUACAAUCUAGUUACCUACAAUCUGGUUGGAGAGAUGAGUCUCCUAACAUGUAAGCUAUUAAAGAACGCUCCAUGGCAAUAUAUAAUCAAGUGCCCAGCUGAAUAAUAUGGAUAAUAAGUACCAUAAGGCGAGACCAGCUUUGGCAGAGGCCCAGCUCGCUGUCAGCACUGCCUGGGAAAGAUCAGAUCCUUAGGACGGUUUAUCUGCGACCACAGGAUUCAGGUUUCAAUCAGGCUCUGCCAUGAAUUAAACCGACUCCCUCCCCCUGGUUAGGCCACAGUUUCCCCGUCGAAACAACAGCAAGGAUGCUUCCAGCAUUUUCUUUCAAGAGCCACGAGCCUGCAGGAGAUACCACAGGAAGCUAUUUUAAGCUCCGACCAAAGGAUGGGACGUUCUCCGUGGGUGAAGACAGCGGCGAGGAAGUGGGGAGUGAACUUCAUAGCAGGUAGAUUCUGGGGAGGUAAAGACACUAGGCUUCAAGGGAGAUGAUGGUGCCAGCAUCCUUCACAUUCGUCAGCUCCUUCUUGGAGUGUUGGGUUCUGUUCUGGGUAUCCCCUUCUACAAAAGGCCUCGCUUAGCUCGUGUCCACAGGACAGUGUCCAGACUGAUGGAAGGUUUAGAAACUUUUUAUAUGGAAAAAAAAAUCAAAGGAACUGAGGACGUUGAAUGAGAAUAUGAGGUGGCUUGGGGAAAAGGCAAGGAGUCAUGCCAUCUAUCUUCCCAUGCUUGAAGGGCUAUCAUGUGAAAGGUUAAAUUUACCCACUGUAGCUCCAGAGGGUACAAGGAGGCAUUGUACGUAGAAGUUAUGAGAUGGCAUAUUUCAAAUUAUUCUCAUAAUACUGUCUAACAGCAGAAGGGAAUGCCUUGUUAGGUAGCGAGUCCCCUGUCAUUAGAAACCAUAAUAAAUGAGAAUCAUAAAAUUUUUUAGAGCUGGAAGGGACCCAAAAAGUCAUCAUCUAGCCUAGCCUCCUAUGUGUUAUGUUAUUUUUGGGUAGACAACAGACUUUAUUUCAACCUACCAAAAAAUACAGGUCACGGAGGAUCGUAAUCAAAUACAGGACAUAUUAAACACAGUGGUCCAUAAGCCCCCCUUGGGAAAAACCAGAGCUUGGAUUCGUCAAUAAGCCGCUCGCUGACAUGCCAGUGAAAUAUUGCUCUCCCACAGGGUCCAGUACAGUUCUUCCAAGACUCAUACUGCUAUAGCAUGUUUUGGACUCAUCCCCAGAAAGCAGAUACAUUUUGGAAUUGCUCAAUAGCCAGUUUUUUUCCUUUGGACCUGCUCUGUCUUCAUAACUCAUGGUAAUGGAGGGAACAAAUAGAGGUUUUGGGAUAUCCUCUAUGUUGUGACUUUAAAGCCCCUUACUGCACCUCUCGCUCUCCAUGGGAUCAAGCUUCUUCCGUCUCUGGAACUCAGGGCUCACAGAACUCUGGAAUUCUCUUCUAAGAGGUUAGUUGUCCUACCUCUUGAAUUUGGGGUUAUUCUCGAGCUACCCCCCAAACUGGUGUUCCCAAGGAACCUUUCUCUUUUACUAGAAGCCUAGAUUCUGAAAUCACACAGCCUAGGAAAUUAAGCUUCCACCUUCAUCCCCACCUACAUGGGAAGUUAGGGUUCAGUAGCAUUAUCCAUGCUACAUUAUCCAUUAUCCUUGAAUGUAGGGCUGGUUUCAUUUUAAAAUUUGAAGUCUGACACAUAGUGGAUAUUUAAUAAAUCUUUUUUGAAUGAACAAAUAUGCUCCCCUCACUGGGUUUAAUGUUGGCUAGCCUCUUCCUUAUCUUCCAUUAAGAAUUGUUGAUGCUGGGGGAAGCUAGGUGGUUCAGUGGGUAGAGAUGGGAGGCCUUGAGUUCAAGUGUGGCCUCAAGAUACUUCUGAACUGUGUGACCUGGGCAAGUCACUUAACCCCCAAUUGUCUAGCCCUUACUGCUCUUCUGUCUUGGAGCUGAUACUAUCAAUUCUAAGAUAGAAUUUAAAAUUAAAUACAUAAAGAAUUUUGAUGCCCCAAAUUUUAAGAGAAACAAAGUAUCUUUAAAAAAAAUAGGCAGCUAGGUGCCUCAGAGAUGCUGCCAUCUUUUAGACUAGGAAUAUCCAUUCCCAAGUGUCUUGCCCUGUGUUCAAAAAGCCAUGGGUCAGCAGAUCUGAUUUUGGUGUACUUCUGUUCCCAAAGGGACCAUGAACAAAUCCUAGAAUAAGGAAGAGAGAGAGGGACUCCCUGCUCUCUAGUGCUCUUAUGAAGGAAGUUCCAAGGGAGAAGGUGAAAAAAAGCCCAGGCAGGUGAGGCCCAGAGUUUAGAAGUGGCUUGGCCCAGAUAAUAUUAGCCAAUGACAAGAUGGGGAAUAGAUCACACGGUCUCUGGGUUUGAAGGGACUUUAUAGGCCAUUUGGUCCAACCAAAUCUGAACAGGAACGUCUGCUAUAAUGUCUGUGACAGGUGGUUGGUUAUUCAGCCUUCCCUUGAAGACUUCAAAUAGUGGUAAAGUUACUAUUUCCCUCAUAUCCAAUCAGUUGCCAAGUUUCAUUCCACCUCCUCAACGUCUCUUAUAUUUCUUCCCCUUUCCCCCUUUAAAAAAAAUCCCUUACUUUCUGUCUUAGAAUCAAUGAUAUGAAUUGAUUUCAAGAUAGAAGAGUGAUAGGCAAUGGGGCUUAAGUGACUUGCUCAGGAUCACACAGCUAGGAAGUGUCAGAGGCCAGAUUUGAACCCAAGAUCUCCUAACUCUCAAUCCACUGAGCCACCUAGCUGCCCCUCUCCCUUUUUUUAAACCCUUACCUUCUGUCUUGGAAUCAAUACUGGGUAUUGGUUCCAAGGCAGAAGAGUGGCAAGGGCUAGGCAAUGGGGGUUAAGUGACUUGCCCAGGGUCACACAGCUAGGAAGUGUCUGACACCACAUUUGAACCCAGGACCUCCCGUCUCUGAGCCUGACUCUCUGGGCCACCCAGCUUCCCCCUCUCCCUUUGUUUUUAUUCACAUGACCACCACCCUCACCUCUCUCCUGGAUUAUUGCAAUAGUCUUUAAAUUGGUCUGCCUGUAUCCCACCCUCCUCGUCCUCUCCAAUCCAUCCUCCACAUUGCUGCCAAAUUGAUAUUUCUGAAUCACACAUCUGACUCUUUCCCUUUUCAAAAAGCUGCAUGGGCUCCCCAUUAUCUCUGGGAAAAAAUACACAUUCUUUUGUUUGGUAUUUAAAGUCCUUCACAAUCCAAAAUUUCAGUACAUCGACCAAGUGUGUGAUUGCUGUUUCAGGCACUGUUAGAGGCUCUGGGCACAAAAUUUUUAUAUACUCUGAAAUCUUCUAGUCUUUUGGGAAGGCAACAUGGCUCUGUAUGAGAAUGUACAAAGUAAAGACAAAGGAAAUGGAGUCAUUGGGGAGGGAAGGACAGAAUGAGAGAGAAGGAUCAGAAAAGAUUGAUGGAGAAGGUGGUGCUUGGGCUGAAUCUUCAACAAAGAGAGAUUCCUUGGAUGGAAGUGUACCCUGGGCAUAGGGCAGGACCAGCACAAAGACACACAAUGGAAUUCCAUGUGUGAGGAAGAGCAGCGGGGCCCACUGGCUAACCUGCAGAGUCUGGAAAAGGGGGUAAUGCAUCAUGAAACUGGAAAGAUGGAUUGGGGCCAGAUGGCAGAGGGCUUUAGAAGCCAAACAUAGGAGUUCCAAUUUUCUCCUAUAGGCAAUGGAAGCCAUUGGAAUGUAUUGAGUAGGGGAGUGUCAUGGUCUGUAACUUAGGAACAUCACUUUGGCAGCCUGGAGAGAAAGGACUAGGAGGGAAUUGAGGUAGAGAGACCAAUUAGAGGCUGUUACAAGGCACUAAUCCAGGGAAGAGAUGAUGGUCCCAGCCAAGAUGGCAGCCGUGUGAAUAGAGAGCCCUGCCUUUGCAAGGCGAGCACACUUACUCCUUUCUAGGCUCUCAGUGCCCAUUUGCUCCUUCCCCAUAAGCAACAAUCCUUAGUUAAAAGACUCUCUCUUCCCCCUAAUUCUCUUCAAGACCUAAUGGAAGAGCCAAUUCUUUCAAGAGUUUUUUUUUCUGAUUCUUUUCAUUAUUUAGUGCCUUCCCCAUCCUGUAUAUUUUUGUGUGUAUACCCUCUGCAUUUUUUCAUCUUCAUGAGGUCAAAUCCAGCCUGAUACUUACUUAGUUGCAUGACCUUGGGUAAAUCACUGAACCUGUUUGCCUCAGUUUCCUCAUCUGUAAAACCAGCUGGAGAAGGAAAUGGCAAACUGCUGCAGUAUUUUUGCCAAGAAAACCCCAAUGGAAAUCCAGAAAAGUGAGACAUUUGUGAUAAUGACAACAGUAACAAAAAUGUUGUAUCCCUUCUAAAGGAAUGUAAACUCUUUUAGGUCAAGGACCAUACCAGUUUUGUAGCAAUACUUGUCAGUGUAUCGUACGAACGUCUGGUACUUGCUUGCUAAAUGCUCGGUGAUUGUGUCGCGGUGCUACCCUUUCUCCUUUGGAAAAACUCAGCCUAAUGGUUCACAUUAUUUAAGAGUACAGAGAAGUCAUGUGGGUUAAGGAAAAACAAAUUAGAAAUAAAAACAAACCACCUUGAAGUUUACCGUGCACUCCCGUUGUGUAUCUUUCCUCCCAUUUAUUACCAAAUGCUUGGGAAGACUCGCCCACAGUUGCUACUUCUGCCUAUUCCCAGAGCUCCUCUUGGUUUCCUCAUCUUUCAAAUGGGGAUAAUGAUAUUUGUGAGACACAGGGCUGUUUAUUUUUUUCUAUAAAGCCUUACUUCCCAUCUUAGUAAUGACUGAGACAGAAGGGAAAGGGCCCGGCGAAUCUUGUCAGUUAUGAUCUGUGCAAGCCCAUUUAAACUUUCUGGGUCUUAGUUUUCUCAACUUUUUUCAAAGGGAUUGGUUGGACUAGAUGACCUCUGAGGUCCCUUUCCAACUCUAGGGCUAUGAUCUUCGGCAUGAGCCUUCUUUCUUUUAACCCUUACCUUCUGUCAUGUUGAUAUGAAGUAUUGUUUCCAAGGCAGAAGAGCAACAAAGACUAGGCAAGUGGGGGGUUAAGUGACUCGCCCAGGGUCACAGAGCGAGGAAGUCUUGAGGUCACAUUUGAAUCCAGGUCUUCCUUUCUUCAGGCUUGGCACUCUAUCCUCUCUGCCACUUAGAUGCCCCUGUUUAUUGACCUUCUGUCUUAGAAUCAAUACUGAGUCUUGGUUCCAAGGCAGAAGAGCGGUAAGGGCUAGGCAGUGGGGGUCAAGUGACUUGCCUGGGAAGUGUCUGAGGCCAGAUUUGACCUCAGGUCCUCCUAUCUCUAGGCCUGGCUCUCCAUCUACUGAGCCAAUUGGCUGCCCCCCAAUUUUGUUUUCAAAAGAUACCUUUUUUUCCCCUUAAAGUAUCUGAAAUCUGGCUUCUGACCCCACCAUUCUUUGUACACGUUUCCUCCAGUUUACCAGUGAUUCCUUAAGGCUUCAUCCCCUCUGAUGUCUCUGCAGCUUUAAACACUGUGGCCCACCCUCUCCUCUUAGAUCCCUUCGCUUUCCUCGCACAGCUGAGCCCCUGGCUCUUCUCCUACCUGUCUGACCAAGUCUUCUUGGGCUGCUCUGCUGAGUCAUCCUGUUUCUCCAGCUCCCUAAUAAGGAGUGUACCCACAGGCUCUGUUCUGGGCCUUUUGCUGACUUCAUUAUUUCCCCUGGGCUCAAUUAUCAUUACUUCAGAAAUGAUUCUCAAAUCUAUAUAUCUAAUUUGUCUCCUAGAUUUAAGUCCUAAAUUGUCAAUUACCUUUUAGACAUCUCCUCCUUGAUGGCCUUCUCAUUUUCUUUACUCCUAAAUAACAAACAUAAUAACACAACAGUAACAAUAAUGUUAUGUUUAUAUAACUUUAAGAGGGACAAAAUACCUUAAAAAAUGGGGAGGAGGGGAGCCGGCUGGGUAGCUCAGUGAAUUGAGAGCCAGGCCUAGAGAUGGGAGGUCCUGGGUUCAAAUCUAGCCUCAGACCCUACCUAGCUGUGUGACCCUGGGCAAGUCACUUAACUCCCAUUGCCAAGCCUUUACCACUCUUCUGCCUUAGAACCAAUACAUGGUAUUGAUUCUAAGAUGGAAGGUAAGGAUAUUUUAAACAUUGAAAUAAAAAUAAAUAAAUAGGUACAGAUAGGUGGCACAGACUUGAAGUCAGGAGAAUUCAGGGUUUCAAAUCUGACCUCAAACAUUGCCUAAUGGUGUGACCCUGAGCAAGUCCCUUAACCAUAUUUGUCUAGUUUGUGUCCUUGUGUCUUAAAGUUGUUACUAAGGCAUGAAGGAAAAAUUAUGAGAAAAAAGUAAAAUUAAACAGCCCUGUGAGGUGGGAGCAGAUAUCAUUAUCCCCAUUUGAAAGAGAUACUAAGGUUCUGUGGGAUGAUCACUGAGAUAGUAACUGUCUAAGUCAAUAAUUGAACCCAGUGUUCAGACUUCAGUUGUAGUGCUCUACUUUAAAUGUUGUGCCCUUAAACUUUCCCCAUCUCCCAAAUGCCCUGUUUCUACCAUCUUCUCGGGCACCCAAUUUCAUAACUUUGGAGUUGCCCUUGACUCUUCUCUCAUCUUCGUCCCCAUAAUCUCCAGACAUUUGCUGGAUGAUCAGUUCUACCACACCAGCUCUCAUUCAUCUCCUUCCUUCCAUCCACGUAGCCUCUAGUAGGUUCUUCCACUUCUUGUCGGCCAGUGGGUCCCAUAGCUAAUUGGUCUCCCUAUUUCUCUAGUGGUAUCAAAGUCAAAUAGAAAUGCCAGCCCCUGAUCCAUACAUAUGGACCCCUGUGGGCCACAUAUUGACUUAAUUUUAAAAUGUAAUAUUGUCUUUGUUUUCUUAUAUUUUCAUUUAUUUUCUUAAAGAUUUCCCAAUCACAUUUUAUUUCUCUUUAGAUUCACUUUAGAGGCAGCCAGUGGGCUCUGUUCUGGAACCUGCAUUCUGAGUCUUCUUCCCAUCUGUCACCAUCUUCUUCCUAAGAUCUAUAUCUCUGUUAUUUCUUCCUCAGAAACCUUCGGGGAUUUCCAAUGGUAUAUCAGAAAAAUAGAAACUCCUCAGUCUGGCAUUCAAGGCCCUCCAUCCUUUGGGCCUGCCCUUGUUUCCUUAGUUCUCCUUUCACGUUCUCCAUAUUUAGUUAAACCCAUCUAGAAGCUCUUCUCUGAAACCUGUCUCUUUCUCCUCCCCAGGGCUGUGUGUUCACACAGGCUGUCCCAAUAUGGCUGGAAAGCAUUCUCUCCUCAUCUCUGCCCUAUACUGUAAAGGGUUGGCAUGAAGAUCAGAUGAGAAUGUAAUGCAUCGCUCAAUAAAGGCCUUCUGAAGAACUUUUCUCGGGAACAUAUGACUCAGCAGUUGAAUUCCCUGAGGGACGGAGGCCCCUGAAGUCCUCCCAGCUAUGGUUGGAGUCCACACCUCUGGAACUUGGCACCUGAUCCUGGAAGGGCAGAAGGGGACUCCCGAAGAUGAGAUGAUACGACAUUUGGCCGAGCUGUGGAGACUAUCAUUCAGAAUGAAGCAAGGGAGAGGCCUCAGGGGAAGGAGUGAGCCUGCUGAGACGAGGGUCUCCAAACCCUGAAGCAUCCAAGGUUGGAUGGAGAGCUGGGACUGCGCAGGAGGCGACAGGCAGUUCUGACGGGUUCCCAGACUUGGUGGUGUGUACCCUCUUCUUCCCCCACGUACGUAUAUUCUGGGAUCGGGGGCGAUUCCUAUGCAGUUGGGGGUGCUCUCCCUCCUAGACUUUCUUUCUCUUGCUUUUGGCUGUUUUAUUCUCCCGGUGGGGGGAAUUUUUCCACUCUAAUUGUCAUUCUCCCUCAGUGUUAGUUGGUCCAGGAUGACAUGGGUCAUGAGGAAGAGAUCAGACCUGAUCCCUCUGGCUCCUACCUCCACGCACAACUUUAGCCCAGAAGGGAGGACCCCCUACUUUAGGAUGGGCAGAAGACCCUGGCUGUUUUGGCAUCUGUCUGUCUGUCUGUCAGUCAGCAGAGCUGGGAUGUAGACAUGUUGGGGGGUGGGUGGGGGUCAGGGAAAGAGAAAGGAAGGGACGCAUUAGCGAGGGCCCCCCCUCCCUCGAGGUCUGGCCAUGGUGGGGGUUGGCAGGCUUUGGGUGGAGUUGGGAGGUGGGGUGGUCCCCUGGGUGCCCCGGGUGGGGGCUGAGUCUGUGGCAGGUUUGUUGCUGCGUAGUUGGGGGAAGAAAAGUGGUGGCUGGUGACGCAGUCAUGGGCACAUCCGAGGGGGCAGGGGACCGAGGCUCCCCGAAGCUGCUGAGCCCGGCUGAGAGGGUUAAGGAUGAGCCGAGGAGGGGAAGCCAACAUUUAGAGAUUAAAUGUCAUCCUUCUGGCGUUGCAAAGUUGUUUACCUUGCGUUCUCUGUGUCUCCAUGUUGGCAUCUCUCCAGUUCCCAUGUGAUGGCCUUCCCUGUACUGCUGCAUCAUUAACCGAGUGGCAGGGCUGGCCCUUCAUUGGCCAGGGGAGGGCUCAGGCUCCAGACGUUUCUUCCCAUUGGUGAGAAGGGUGAUGGCAGGUGAAAAGCUCUUUUGGAUUGGCUGAGGACUGGGUAUCAAAUCUGAAUUUCCAUUUCACUGGAGAAAAAAGGGGGGUAGGUUGGUGAUGAUGGUUGGAGUGUGGGGGUGGGGGGGAGCUGAGCAGUUCUGAUCUCUCAAAGCUCUUCAGGGGUGCGUGUGUGUGUGCGUGCACGCAACAGUGCCCAGGGGUGCUCUGGGGCUAAAGCUUCUGGGCAUUCGAGGGACUGAUUUACUCCGUGGAUGUGAGACAAGCUCCCAGCUGUACAAACUUUUUUUUAAAAUGGGUUUUGUUUUUUGUUUGGAGGGGGUGAAGAGUUGGAUUUUAGGCAUGAGGGGUGGCAGAAGAGUUGACAGCCUCAGAAGAAAAGCUUCCUGAGCUUAUUUGAUUUCAAAAGAGGGAGUUUCCAGCUGUCACCGGCCGCACCUUGGUGUUGUGGCAAGAUCAUUCCCAACUCCCCUGGAAAUGCGUGGGCAAGGUAGGGCUGCGGCUGCUGACUCCCGACGGCUCCCCGGGGACCAGAGAUUUGCAUUGACGUCCAGAGAUAGCCCUAGUCCUCAGGGGCCAGAGGGGGGUCAGGCUAUGGGCUGAGAGGACCUGAUUUCCUCAGACCAAUCUUUGGGUGGGAAAGGAAGGAUGGGAGGAUUGAUCCCAGGAGGUGAGCCCACUUGGGUGGGCUUUCUAAAAGAGUUGAUAGAAGAAAGAGCUUUCUGACCUGCAUCUUCCCAUCUAAAGGAAGGAGGAUUGUGAGAGAGAAACUAGGGCAGCAGCUGUUGGCUUUGGGGGGAAGAUGGAGGUUGGGAGGGGGGAAGAACUGAAAAAGAAAUGUUUAUAGGAAUCUCCAUCUUUCACUCAAAUGGAGGUCCCAAGUUUGCAGUAGCUGUUCAGGUAAGGAAUAGGGUACUGGAGACCAAGCCUCCUCCCCCCACCAUACCAGCCGAGGAUGUCAUGAAAUCUCAGCCCGGUGGCCCAGCCGGUCCCUCCUUGUCCACCUUCGCCCCGCACAGGCCCCUCGUUCUUUAGUCAGGGCUUGGGCCACCCCAGUUCUUACGUAACUGUGUUCUACACCUUCUCCUGUCCUUUGGCAUGUCUAGCACCCCCCCUGGGGUCCAGACAUCGCAGAAGAAAAGUCCUGGCUGGGGAGAAAUUAAUGAACGAUGUCGCUAACCAGCCCCCAAAGGGUGGCGCAGUCAGCGACGCAGGAUGAAUGGGAGGGCAUCCUCUGCUUGGUCCUUGUUACCAGUGGUUUCCUGGGAGCAUCUGCCCUGGAGAUAGAGUGGUCUCAGCAUCCUUCUGCAACGCCACUCAUUUGGGGGGAUCUUUCCAAAGGAAAAGGUAGGAUGGCUACCGGAUGCAGAAUUUUCUUUUUUUAAGAGAUGGGGGCCACUUGGGAUGGCGCAGAGUUGUUUGGCCCUCUCGGUCCAUUGCCCUGGUCCUUCCUCGGCCCCUUUUUGUUGUUUUGGUUCUCUGACUCUGGAUUCUUUACCAUGACUCCCUUUGGGGGUUUCCUCCCUCCGUGGAGUGGGCUUCUUGGGUCCUGCUGUGCCAAUUGCGCAGAACGGGUGGGGGCCGGGGGGAGGGGAGGAGGUAGAGGACCUGGGGAGCUGCGGAAACAGCAGCAGCAGAGGACGUGGUGCAGAUUGCGGCAGUGAUGGGAGCUUCUCGGAGGCAGAGCCUAGAAGGUUUUGUUGUGCCCACCCUUACCCCAAAGUCUUAGCCAGACGUGGAGAAAUACGUUUAUUGCUCUUGGUCCUGGGGCCCUGCCUGGGACUUCUGGCAUCGCUGGUUGGGGCCUCACUGAAUCAGAAGCAUUUGGGCCCCCCCUUCUCCAGACAGGGGCCUAAAGCCCUUUGGGGGGCUGGGGGUGAAGAUCUUCGAGGUGAGUGACGUAGCACAUAACUUGAGAAGGAUCAGACCCGUGGGCUGGUAUUCCCAGCAUCACCAGUAGGGAUGGGAUGGAAAUGGGUGUUUGCUGGUGGCCAUGAUGUUUUUGGAAUGUCAGAAAUCACUGAAUCAUGGAUCUGAGCUGGAAGGAAUGUUGAAGGUCACCCCUUCUUUGGCCAGAUGGGGAAAUUGAGGCCCAAGGAGGUUAAGAUACUUCUAAAUACCAGAGCCAGGAAUCAAAGCAGGGUCCUCUAACCCUAAAUACAGCCAUGCGUUAUGGCUAGAAUUCUGGAUACCCUUUGAUUCUUUUCUUUGCACCUUCUUUAUUCCCACAUAUACCAGCCCGGAAUGGAAAACUAAGAGGUUCAUUUGGGGGUGGAGAAAAAGAAGCUAGAAUAAAGGGGAAUCUGUAAUGUGAGCACUGAUGGGCUAAUGCACCCCAUUGAGAUCACCCCUCUUUCUUCUACGUAUAUCCUUCCAUCAUCCCUAAAGUUUAUCAUCCUUUUUCCUGAAGAGCCUCCAGGGGGCCAUCUCUCUCCUUGCACCUUGGCUCACAGCUUUGAGGGCUGGCCCCCAGGUGGUCUCUUUUGGUAUUGUGGUCGCACAUCUGCUCCUCCUCUUCUUCCUCCUCCCCCCCCCCCCAGCUUCCCAGACUCCUCCAGGAGUGGGAGAGAUAUCCUGGGUCCUCAGACCUAGCCCUGAAGAGCCAAGGUCUGGCAGGGUCUUCAGGGCUGGGGUGGCUUCAGGGAUGAGCUCUUCACUGGAUUGUGUAUCUGCCCAUCUUCAUUCAGAGAUGCCCAUCACCAGGGGAUGCUGAGCCCCAGGAAAUGUGUGAGGGCAUCUCCUAAGAGUUGACGUCUGUGUCAGUGGAUGGAGGGAGUAGGACCCGGAUGAAAGGGCAGCUUCUUGGUUGUGUUAUCAGCUAAGGGGCGGUGAUCAAGGGGGCUUCAGUUUCCCUGGAGGCUCUCUCCAGAGUGAACAUCAGAGCCUCAAAAUUCUCCAAGUCUUCACUCACUCUCUUCUGCUUUAUUUAUUCAUUUAACAGACAUUUAUCAAACAAUCUGCCAUGUGCACAGCCCCAAGGGAGGGUAAUACACACUGCCUUUGACUGUGAGAAGUUUAUAGUCUAGUGAGUAAAGGAUGGGAGCGGAUGGGAUGGGAUGGGGCCAUGGUUUCCUUGGUACCUCCCUUUACCCAUGAAUGCAAAUCAGCACCUGCCUGGAACCCCGAGAAGUUCAGUAACCUGUCCCAGAUCAUGUAGCUGAUCUAUGUCAGGCAAAACUUGAAUCUGGUUCCUUUUUGGACUCUGAGGCCAGCUCUUUGCCCUGGACUGCCUUAACUGUAAUAUAAAACAUGUAGACAGAUAAUUCUACAAAUUAGAGAAGGCAUGCAAAUUACCAUGAGAUCUGAUGAGAGAAGGAUCACUUCUGGGAGUGGGUCAUGGGAACUGAACCCUUUUAGCAGCUCGGUGAUACAGCAGAUGGAGCCCUGGACUCUUCCUGCCUCAGAUACCAUUAGCUCUGGGAACCCUGAGCAAUUCAUUGAAUAGCUCUGUGCCUUAGUUUCCUCAUCUGGAAAAUGGGGCAGUGGUAACCACCUACCUCCCAGAGUUAUCAUGAGGAUCCAAUGAGCUGAUAUUUGUAAAACCCAAUGCAAACCUUAAUGUGCUGCUGGGACCCAGAAUAUAGGAGCAGCAGAAAGGGGAGAUGAGGCUGGAAAAAGAUAGGUUGAGGGCUUUUUCCUUCCUUGCUCAGAGGAAAAACUGCCCCCCCCUCCCUCCUGCAUUCUUGAUAAUGCAGUUAUUCUGCCGGGAGGAGAGGGAGCAAGCACUUGACCCUCCUUGUUUCAUUUGCUCCUGCCCUGAGAGGUAGACAGGGCAGAGUAUUGUCAUCCAUGUUGUGCAGAUGAGGAAACUAAGGCUCAAAAAAGAUUAAUUAGUUUACUGAAGUCACAGAGAUUGCAAAUGGCAGAACUAGGACUUCAAUUUCCGGUCUUCUGAUUCAGAGUUCUAUUUUCUCUCCACUGUUUUAUGAAGCUGCCCAUUCCCUUCCAUAUCUUACUCUAUCCAUGAUUUCCUUCCUCUCUUACAGCUUCUUUUUCUGUGUCCGAUGAGUCUUAAUCUGUUUCUUCUGCUUACACACAUUUUCAGGUUGCCUCUAUUUUUUGAAAAAAUCCUUACCUUUUAUGUUAGUAUCAUUUCUAAGACAGAAGAGAAACAAGGGCUAGGUAAUCAGGGUUAAGUGACUUGCCCAGCAUCACAUAGCUAGGAAAUGUCUGAGAAGCCAGGUCCUCCAUACUCAAGGACUGGUGCUCUAUCAUCCAUAGAUGGAGCCACUUAGUUGCCCCAGGUUGUCUCUAUCCUUUAGAAAUAAAACAAAACAAAAAACUUUCCUCCACCCAGCAGCUCUCUUUGGCCAUGGGCCUAUCUUUUUCCUUUUUUUUGAUGUCAAGUUUCUAAAAAGAUCUGUCCACAAUAGCUGGUCCAUUUCACCACCCACUCAUACCUUAAUACCCUUGCCGUCUAGAUUUUAGUUCUACCCCUCGACUUAAAAUUCUCUCAAAGGUCACCAGGGACUUACGAAAUCCAAUGGCCUUUCUCAGUCCUUAUCCUACUUAAGCUUCCUGUGACAUUUGAUGCUUUGCCAACCCCUCCCUCCUGAAAUUCUCUCCUCCUUUGGCUAACGUGGCACGGUCAUCUCCUGGUUCUCCUCCUACCUCUCUGUGCCCGGGCACACUGCCUUACUUGGUGGCUCCUGCUCCCUCUCUGGAACCUCUAAAUCUAGGUAUUUCCUAAGAUUCUCUGUCUUCUAUCAUUGCACUCUCCCCCUCAGACCAUCUGUCUCCUUUGGAUUCACCACAUCACUUCCAUAAAGAGAGCUAAAAUCUUUAUCUCCAAACCCAGCAUCUUAUGGAUAUUCUUCCAGAUUCGUUAUCUAUUGGUAAAUACCUGCUGGAGACAGUAUGAUGUAGUCAAUAGAGGAUCAUGAAGACCUGGACUCAGGACCUGGCUGGGGGACCCUAGGAAAGUCAGUACCCUGAGCAAUUUUCUAAGAUAUAAAUGGUGAAGAAAAUAGAAGUUUCCUCAUCAGGCGUUCCUUAUACCAAUGUAAUUAGAAGUCUCAUUAAAAAAAAUAGGUAGCUGGUGGAUAUGUCCACUUUGAUGUCCUGUUGCCACCACGAAUUCAACUUAGCCCAAAUUGAACUCAUCUUCUCUCCCUUCCCUUAAUCUUACAUCACACUUUUAUCCCUGUCAAUGGCACCAUUGCCCUUCUCAUGACCUAGGCUUGAAAUGUUGGCUUCCUUCAAGCCUUCUUUGUCUCUAUAGACAAUCCUGUCUAGUCCUCCUUUGUGAUAUCUCUUCCAUCCCCAUCUUGUAUCAUGAAAUCAUAAAUUUAGCAUUGCAAGACACCUUAAAAGACAUCCAAUAUAGUUCCCUCAUUUUACAAAUAGAGAAGUUGAGGCAGAGAGAAAGGGUGCAAGUUCACACAGUCCCUAAGCAUGGAAGAAGUUGGUAUUCUAGAAGGCAGAAGUUAGGUCUCCACCCUGCUCAGAAAUUUAUAAUUAUUCCCUAUCAUUUAUAAAAUCAAAUCUUUGAAAUUUGAGUUUUUUCAUGAUUCCAAUGACUUUUGCCACCUUAUAUCCGACAGGGCAUAUAGGAUUCUAGGCCACAGGGGUCACUGGUUUUGAGCUCAACCUCUCAGAUGAUCUGUUAAGAAACUUAAGAAUCUAUAGAAAAUUUGGGUGAAAGAAAAUAGCUCAAUAAAUAAUUGUUGACCCUUUAGUUUUAAGAUUUACAAAGUACUUUGCAUACAUCAUCUCGCUCAAUCCUCUUAAUACCCCUGUGAGGUAGAUGCUAUUAUUAAUUCCCAUUUUAUAGACACGGAAACUGAAGCUUUUAAGAUAUGUCUUUUUCCACAGUUACGCAACUAAUAAGUGUUUGAGUCUGAGACUUGCCUAUGAAGCCAUGUUGCUUCUUGUUGCCCUCAUGCCCGAUUCCAUGUAGUAGACCUUUGGGGGCUAGGAAUUGGACUUGUACAAGCCUACUUUGUAGAAAAAAAGGAGAUGAGAGUGUGUGCAUGGUACUCAGACCUGCAGAUGAGAAAGAGUUCUAGGAAGGCACCCAUUUGCUUUGAACCCCUUUGAAGCUGAAGAAGGUGCAUGAUUGGAGCUGGUCCCAUCUGUCUUUAUCUCUGGGUGCAAUGGAGAAAACAUUAGCUGCUGUCAGAAGACCAGUUCUUGAGUCCUGACUCUGAUACUAGCUGCCUUGAUGGGGUUCACUCUUCAGUUUCCUCAUCUGUAAAAUGGGCAUGAGCCUCAUUGCCCUACUUGCCUCACAGGGUUCUUGUGAGGAAGGCUUGGUAAACCCAUGAGGCAUGUGACAGGUGGCUGAAUCAGCACAAGGGUACAGAUGAGCUGAGGGGAAUUCACAAAGGCAGGGUGGAGAGGAUUAGGGAGGGCUGGUCAGUUCUGUGGAAGUCCCAUUGGAGGCCAGAUUGGUUUUUUCUCUAAAAUCUCCCCUCCCAAAAUGUCAAUAGUGUCUGUCUGGUUCCUGAAGACGUUGAACCCUGUUGAACCCUAAACCUUCCAUUUCUGGGGCUUUGGGAGCAGAAGUUGACAAACAGCUGUUGGCAAUUGUGGGAAAGGCGAGAGGAAUGAAUUCUGGUGAUGGCUUCUGGGUGGUUGGGUUUUUUUUUUUCCCUUUUGGAAGAUGACUCAGUGUGUCAUGAGCCCUGAGAGGGAGCUUUCAGGCUCACAUCUGAUGCUCCAUGGACAUGAAAAUUAGCUCAUCUGGGGUCAGAUUGAAGAAGGGCUGGGGAGUCUUGGGAUCACACAACACAAUAGCCUAGUUUAUACCUCAGAGGAGAAAAUGCCAGCUUUUGGGGUUUAGAAAUGAAACCUGCCAAGCAAUAUUUUUUUCCCAUAGAUCUUCACGUUCCCUCCACCAAAUGUCAGGAGUGUUUCUGGGGCUAAGAAUCCUCUGAGGAAUUUUCCCAUAGUCCUGUUGGCCGGUACUUGAGCAGGGGGUAUCUUGUAGAACUUUCUAGGAGUCUCCUGUGUCCCCUUCUGCCUGAGUGAGGGUGGAAAAAAAUCAGCAGUGGCCGUGUUCCCGAGUCUGUCUGCUUCAUUGAGACACUGGGAUGUAGCCUCUGAGUCUGUCAGGGCCUGAGUCACUGACUUUUGUUGGAGGGGAGACCAGGGCUAGGCUAAAGGUCAGUUUACUGGGAAACCAGCCUUGGACUCCCAUUUUCUUCCUUCUUUGGCCAGAUUUGUAGCAAGAUUCCACUGGUCCUUCCCCUACUACUUCAACACAUUGUUGUUUUUUUCUGUCUGUUGUCAAUCAAUAAACAUUUAUUAAACACCUUAUUUUUGUAGACAUUGUGCUAGGUACUCGAGCCCCAGGAUUCUAGGUCUUUCUAGAGCUGACUGUGCUGGACAGAAUUUUAUUUCUCGUCCCUUUUAUCCAUCAGCCCAGUCAUCCCAGGGGCAUGGGAGGGUAUGGGCUAUUCACUGCUCCUGUCGCUUAGCCAAACCAAUUACCCAGGCAGCUGGGACCCUCCAUUUCUUUCCAUUGUUUGCCAGUCAUCAGGUGGGGAAGGUUUAUUUGUGGCAUGAGCAGACAUUUUUGGGAACUGAGGAAGAAUGCCAGGCCAGGUUUUGUUUACCAUUAGAGUGCCAUUCUCUGCAUAUUCCCCUUCCCCUUCCCCAUGUACAGUUUUUUGCCAUGUCCUAAUCAAAAUUAGGAUCACGUUUCUCACCUCCUUGCCCCAUGGAGUAUCCUGAAGGGUUAAUUCAAAAUUUCAUCUAGAAUUUGGGAAGCCCUGGAAGGAGGAAGCAUUUGUGCAGAUAAUGAACUGUGAAAUCUUACCAAAAUGACAUUUACUACAAGAAAUUAGGGAUGAUUCAGUUUAAUUGAACAAGCUUUGUUCAAAGCACCAUGCUAGGCACCGAGGGUACAAAGGAAAGAGCGAUUGGUCCCUGUCCUUAGGAAACUCACAGGUAUAGUCACUCAUCCCUGGAUUCUCUCAUAUUUCUUCACUGACCUUUAAAUAAAGCAAGCCUACCAUGGUACAUAUACCAGUCCUCAACUGUUGAUUUAAAACCAAACCAAAUAAGAAAGGUAACAAGAAUCAUUUGCCAGAUUGGGACAUCUUUAGCAGAGCAGGAUAUGCCCUCUGAUCUUUGCUGAGGAUUCCCCUGAUCAUUCCAUUCCUUCUCUACAAAAGUAUUUACCAGGGAUGCUUUUAAUCCUAUCGCUCACAUUUAUCUAGCAUGAUAGGAGUUAUCUUUACAUUUCAGAAAGCUCUGUUCUAACAGACCAGUUCUAAAAAGAAAGAAAUGGGCCUUCUCCAACUUAGAUGUUGCAUCCCCUGUCACUGGUGUCCCUCUCUCUAAAGGAUGGACACUAGCCACCAUUGUGUUUGGCUCUCUGCCCUUCUACCAUCUACUUUCGAUGGGGGAACAGGAACCAUUCACAGAGGAGCCAAGGCUAUGAGCAUUAUAUUUCCAAUCCCCUUCUCUGCUCUUAGUUACUUGUCCUAAAUCGGGUCCUAAAUGGUUGGGAAUUGUUAAUCCAUCCUCAGUCAUAUAAACCUGAACUCCCUUCUCUCCUUUUCUCUCCUUGCAGGAACUCAGGACUUAGUCAUCAGCAGAAUCUCCCAUGUUAAAGCAGUCCAGGGCAAAGAGCUGGCCUCAGAGUCCAAAAAGGAACCAGAUUCAAGUUUUGCCUGACAUAGAUCAGCUACAUGAUCUGGGACAGGUCACUGAACUUCUCGGGGUUCCAGCAGAGUCUCGCCAUGAUGGAAGCUCAUUGACAUGUUGUUGGAGAACUUUGAUGGUGAGGAAACCGAGGCCUGGGGAGAUUAAAGUGACCACCGAGAGGGCCAACACAGUUCUUUGCACAUACUAGGCAGUAUGGAUGGAUGCAUGCUUUUUGGAUCGGAUUCAGCCUAUUAAAUCAUUGAUCUUUUGAAUUCCUGAAGUAAAUUUCUCCAGAAACCAUC
Monodelphis domestica (gray short-tailed opossum) is the source of this 20176-nucleotide non-coding RNA. Lineage: Eukaryota; Metazoa; Chordata; Mammalia; Didelphimorphia; Didelphidae. The record is from RefSeq and is a predicted model, not a curated record.